CUGUGGUUCAGGAGGAGGGGAAUUUCCUGC
RNAcentral lists this non-coding RNA (30 nucleotides) under Homo sapiens (human). Lineage: Eukaryota; Metazoa; Chordata; Mammalia; Primates; Hominidae. The record is from RNAcentral.